GUGAAGUUCAUCUUCCAGCUUCUUAGAUUUUUUCGUCAACUGACAAACUUUCCUUCUGAGGUCUCGGAUCGUCGACUUCAGAGGAAUCCCCUGUGGCAGGGGGAGAGCUCCGGCAGGACACUAUCGUUGGGAGACAAGAGCGCCACGACUCAGAUUAGUACGAGAAGAUAAAAGAGAAGAAAAAGAAUACAAAAAAAAAGAGGAGAAAAGUUCUAAGGAAGCUCGGCUUCAUCAGACUUCGAACUCUCGAUUUCGGCCAUCGUCGAG
RNAcentral lists this long non-coding RNA (267 nucleotides) under Elaeis guineensis (African oil palm). RNAcentral's name for it is "long non-coding RNA (EGUI_LNC078801)". The record is from RNAcentral. Lineage: Eukaryota; Viridiplantae; Streptophyta; Magnoliopsida; Arecales; Arecaceae.